AGGCAAAGCCGGGAGAAACUGCUGAGACGAGGUGGCAGCGGGGACCACGUGAGAUGGCGUAUGUGGCCUUGAGCGAUAAACCUCACCUGUCGGGGGAGGUGGGCGAGGAAGCCUGCAGCUCCUGGAACCCACCACUUUUCUCUCCCAGGCCCUUGCCCAGGCUGUGGCCUCUGCCUGGAACCCCUUUUCUUCCCAUCCGAGCCCUUCCCUUCAGUGCCUCUUCCUCUGGGAAGUCCUCUCUGGUGCCCAGCCCGUCCUCUUCUGCCCACUCUGGGUUUCGCACCCCAUGCUUAGGCCCUGAUUGCCUGCUUUGCACACAGGGCUGUGAGCUCCAUGAGGGCAGGAACCACAUGGCUGUUCACAGCUGUGUUGCCAGGGCCUGGCCUGGAGACCCUCAGGAAGUGAGACAUCUGAAUCCUCUGCUCUGUGACCCUGGCAGCCAGGUAGAGCCAUCUUGGCCAUGGCACCCAGGCUUGGAGCAAGCAGCAGCCUCAUGGGUGGGGAACCACGUUUCCCCAGCACAUCGGCAGGCCCUAAGGGGACAUUCGCUUGGCUCUGCCCUCAGAGCACUGAUGCCCGGGGGACACUGCCCUUUGUGUGUCCCAUGUAAGAGAGGAUGCAACCUUAGAGGGGGCAGGGGUAAACAUGGUCCCAGGCCCUGUUGUCCCCUCCUAAGAAAGUUCCCAGUUCUGCCUGUCCAUCCCUGGCCUUUUCCCUGUGCUGUCUGGGACAGUGGGUGGAGCUGCCGCUGAGCGGUGGGACCUAGAAAACACAUACUGACCUAUAGGAGGCACUGCCCAGAGCUCCUAACUGGGGUGGGGUGCAAAGGAAAGGUGGGUGAGG
Homo sapiens (human) is the source of this 843-nucleotide long non-coding RNA. RefSeq annotates it as long independently transcribed non-coding RNA 2913. NCBI's taxonomy places the organism in Eukaryota, Metazoa, Chordata, Mammalia, Primates, Hominidae. The transcript has 2 exons. The record is from RefSeq and is marked validated.